This 301-nucleotide ribosomal RNA is filed under the name uncultured bacterium. Its description in RNAcentral is "partial 16S ribosomal RNA". It matches the Rfam family "Bacterial small subunit ribosomal RNA", at positions 509 to 809 of the family's 1533-position model. The record is from RNAcentral.
CAGCAGCCGCGGGAAUACGAAGGGUGCAAGCGUUACUCGGAAUUACUGGGCGUAAAGCGUGCGUAGGUGGUGGUUUAAGUCCGUUGUGAAAGCCCUGGGCUCAACCUGGGAAUUGCAGUGGAUACUGGGUCACUAGAGUGUGGUAGAGGAUAGUGGAAUUUCCGGUGUAGCAGUGAAAUGCGUAGAGAUCGGAAGGAACAUCUGUGGCGAAGGCGACUAUCUGGGCCAACACUGACACUGAGGCACGAAAGCGUGGGGAGCAAACAGGAUUAGAUACCCGCGUAGUCCCUGUCUCUUAUAA